This 45-nucleotide non-coding RNA is filed under the name Schistosoma curassoni. Lineage: Eukaryota; Metazoa; Platyhelminthes; Trematoda; Strigeidida; Schistosomatidae. The record is from RNAcentral.
AUCCGGCUGACGAGUCCAAAAUAGGACGAAACGUGCGUCCUGGAU